GAUGAACGCUGGCGGCGUGCCUAAUACAUGCAAGUCGAGCGAACGGACGAGAAGCUUGCUUCUCUGAUGUUGGCGGCGGAAGGGUGAGUAACACGUGGCUAACCUACCUAUAAGACUGGGAUAACUUCGGGAAACCGGAGCUAAUACCGGAUAAUAUUUUGAACCGCAUGGUUCAAAAGUGAAAGACGGUCUUGCUGUCACUUAUAGAUGGAUCCGCGCUGCAUUAGCUAGUUGGUAAGGUAACGGCUUACCAAGGCAACGAUGCAUAGCCGACCUGAGAGGGUGAUCGGCCACACUGGAACUGAGACACGGUCCAGACUCCUACGGGAGGCAGCAGUAGGGAAUCUUCCGCAAUGGGCGAAAGCCUGACGGAGCAACGCCGCGUGAGUGAUGAAGGUCUUCGGAUCGUAAAACUCUGUUAUUAGGGAAGAACAUAUGUGUAAGUAACUGUGCACAUCUUGACGGUACCUAAUCAGAAAGCAACGGCUAACUACGUG
This 497-nucleotide ribosomal RNA is filed under the name uncultured bacterium. Its description in RNAcentral is "partial 16S ribosomal RNA". It matches the Rfam family "Bacterial small subunit ribosomal RNA", at positions 28 to 507 of the family's 1533-position model. The record is from RNAcentral.